AGAGCAGCUCGGGCGGCCGCUGUGUCCGAGAGGGCAGAGAGGAAAGUCCGGGCUCCACAGGGCAGGAUGCCGGGUAAUACCCGGUCGGCGCGAGCCGGAGGACAGUGCCACAGAAAACAAACAGCCCCUCCGGGGGCAAUGGUGAAAAGGCAGGGUAAGAGCCUGCCGGAUGCGGCGCAAGCUGUAUGCCUGGCAAACCCCAUCCGGAGCAAGAUCGAAUAGGGGGGGAUGAGGUAGCCCGCUGACCCCCGGGUACGAUCGCUUGAGGUGUUCCGCAAGGAACUUCCCAGAGAAAUGGUCGCCAUAUACAGAACCCGGCUUAUGAGCUGCUCAUUUG
This 337-nucleotide RNase P RNA is filed under the name Fretibacterium sp. RNAcentral describes it as "RNase P RNA component class A". It matches the Rfam family "Bacterial RNase P class A". Rfam says of the family: Ribonuclease P (RNase P) is a ubiquitous endoribonuclease, found in archaea, bacteria and eukarya as well as chloroplasts and mitochondria. Its best characterised activity is the generation of mature 5'-ends of tRNAs by cleaving the 5'-leader elements of precursor-tRNAs. Cellular RNase Ps are ribonucleoproteins. Lineage: Bacteria; Thermotogati; Synergistota; Synergistia; Synergistales; Aminobacteriaceae. The record is from RNAcentral.